Molecule: long non-coding RNA, 405 nt
Organism: Gossypium arboreum
Lineage: Eukaryota; Viridiplantae; Streptophyta; Magnoliopsida; Malvales; Malvaceae
Exons: 2
Source: RefSeq, a predicted model, not a curated record
AAGGAAGAAGUAUGAAGCGAUCGCUUCGAGUGAUAGUUCUCUUGCAGCAAUACAUGCCUUUGGGGAAUCAAGCUCAAGCUGAAGUUCAGAGGUUAAGAGAUCAGAUGACUCAAAUGCAAAUGAGCACAGUUAAGCAAAUUGCUUAACUUAAAACGAAUGCAGCAUCGAGAGAAGUAGAGGCUCAAAGAAAAUAUGAAGAACUCCAGCUACAACUUAAAGUGGAGGCAGCAGCGAGGGAAGCAGAGGCAAGUAGAAAAUAUGACGAACUCCAACUACAACUUUAGAAUAUGAUGACAAUGUUUCAGCAGUUGUAGAAUUCGCCAUCUUAGACGUUAGUUUCCUUAUUGUAAGAAUUUUAACAUUAUAAUUUUUGAAUAUAAUAAAUUUUGUUAUUUCAUUUAUUAA